RNAcentral lists this ribosomal RNA (492 nucleotides) under uncultured bacterium. Its description in RNAcentral is "partial 16S ribosomal RNA". It matches the Rfam family "Bacterial small subunit ribosomal RNA", at positions 29 to 507 of the family's 1533-position model. The record is from RNAcentral.
AGUGAACGCUGGCGGUAUGCCUAACACAUGCAAGUCGAACGGCAGCACAGUAAGAGCUUUCUCUUACUGGUGGCGAGUGGCGGACGGGUGAGGAAUACAUCGCCAUCUACUUAUUCGUGGGUGAUUACGUAGGGCAACUUCCGCUACUACCUCAUACUUCCUACCGGUUAAAUCAGGAGAUCUUCACACCUUUCCCGUUUGAUUUAGCUGAUGUCGGAUUAGCUAGUUGGCUAGGUAACGGCUCACCAAGGCAACGAUGCGUAGCCGACCUGAGAGGAUGAUCGGCCACACUGGAACUGAGACACGGUCCAGACUCCUACGGGAGGCAGCAGUAGGGAAUCUUCCGCAAUGGGCGAAAGCCUGACGGAGCAACGCCGCGUGAGUGAUGAAGGUCUUCGGAUCGUAAAACUCUGUUAUUAGGGAAGAACAUAUGUGUAAGUAACUGUGCACAUCUUGACGGUACCUAAUCAGAAAGCCACGGCUAACUACGUG